RNAcentral lists this ribosomal RNA (292 nucleotides) under uncultured Alphaproteobacteria bacterium. RNAcentral's name for it is "partial 16S ribosomal RNA". The record is from RNAcentral. Lineage: Bacteria; Pseudomonadati; Pseudomonadota; Alphaproteobacteria.
GGACUACUGGGGUAUCUAAUCCUGUUUGCUCCCCACGCUUUCGCGCCUCAGCGUCAAUCACAGUCCAGAUAGCCGCCUUCGCCACCGGUGUUCUUCCCAAUAUCUACGAAUUUCACCUCUACACUGGGAAUUCCGCUAUCCUCUCCUGCAUUCAAGCCAAUCAGUAUCAAAUGCAGUCCCCAGGUUAAGCCCAGGACUUUCACAUCUGACUUGAUCGGCCGCCUACGCGCCCUUUACGCCCAGUAAUUCCGAACAACGCUCGCCCCCUUCGUAUUACCGCGGCUGCUGGCAC